AUUCUAUGUUCAUUCCCCUUCAACCUUUAAUUCAUUCAACUUUGUGUUGGACUUGGUGACGUACGGCGAAUAAACAAACAGUUCCCGCUGAGUUUGUUCCGAACCGCUGAACUGAGUGAAUAGUCAUGUCUUUCUACUAUCCGAAGAAUUUUCGUGCUAACGGUUGGGGGUGGCAUAGAAGUGGCAACGCGGCCCUUGCAGUCAGUGGUUUCUUGAGUAAAGAACGUGGCGGGGAGGGUUCAGAACCCUUGCUCGGUAACGGUAGUUUGUACCCAAAACUACCCUCCGAGGAUGACACUUCUUUCUCUGGGGUCAAAUUGUAUCCCGCUCUGCCUGUUGAGGAAUACGAGGGUGGUGCUGUCGAAGAAGUGGUUGAAGAGGCUUGUGCAGCUGUCAAUGUUAAUUUGGUGGUAAGUUUUGUUUUAUAUUGUCUUCUCCAUUCUACGUGAUUUUGACGAAAUAAUCCUCGUUAUUUUGGUAUUAUUGGAAGCCAUUAAUGAACGAAUGUUAUCUAUAUAAUGUAAACAUAUCUUAGCAAUGUAUACUUUAGUCAUUUAAAUAAAAAUAUUAAAGGAUUAAAAA
This is a long non-coding RNA of Melitaea cinxia (Glanville fritillary), 582 nucleotides long. RefSeq lists it as uncharacterized. The transcript is spliced from 2 exons. Lineage: Eukaryota; Metazoa; Arthropoda; Insecta; Lepidoptera; Nymphalidae. The record is from RefSeq and is a predicted model, not a curated record.